RNAcentral lists this ribosomal RNA (1116 nucleotides) under uncultured organism. RNAcentral's name for it is "bacterial SSU rRNA". It matches the Rfam family "Bacterial small subunit ribosomal RNA", at positions 214 to 1359 of the family's 1533-position model. The record is from RNAcentral.
UCCACUUCGGGAGGGGCCUGCGUCCCAUCAGCUAGUUGGUAGGGUAAAAGCCUACCAAGGCGAUGACGGGUAGGGGACCUGAGAGGGUGACCCCCCACACUGGAACUGAAACACGGUCCAGACACCUACGGGUGGCAGCAGUAGGGAAUAUUGCUUAAUGGGCGAAAGCCUGAAGCAGCAACGCCGCGUGUGCGAUGAAGGUCUUCGGAUUGUAAAGCACUUUUUGAGGGGAUGAGGAAGGACAGUACCCUCAGAAUAAGCCUCGGCUAACUACGUGCCAGCAGCCGCGGUAAAACGUAGGAGGCAAGCGUUAUCCGGAUUUACUGGGCGUAAAGCGCGUGUAGGCGGCGCGGUAAGUUGGAUGUGAAAGCUCCCGGCUUAACUGGGAGAGGUCGUUCAAUACUGUCGUGCUAGAGGAUGGGAGAGGGAGGUGGAAUUCCGGGUGUAGUGGUGAAAUGCGUAGAUAUCCGGAGGAACACCAGUGGCGAAGGCGACCUCCUGGCCCAUUUCUGACGCUCAGACGCGAAAGCUAGGGGAGCGAACGGGAUUAGAGACCCCGGUAGUCCUAGCUGUAAACGAUGUAGACUUGGCGUUGGUGGGGUAAAAUCCAUCAGUGCCGAAGCAAACGCGAUAAGUCUACCGCCUGGGGACUACGGCCGCAAGGCUAAAACUCAAAAGAAUUGACGGGGGCCCGCACAAGCAGCGGAGCGUGUGGUUUAAUUCGAUGCUACACGAAGAACCUUACCAGGGUUUGACAUGUUGGUUGUAGGAAACUGAAAAGGGACCGACCCUUCGGGGAGCCAUCACAGGUGCUGCAUGGCUGUCGUCAGCUCGUGUCGUGAGAUGUUCGGUUAAGUCCGCUAACGAGCGCAACCCUCGCCGUGUGUUAUAUGUGUCACACGGGACCGCCGGUCAUAAACCGGAGGAAGGUGAGGAUGACGUCAAGUCAGCAUGGCCUUUAUAUCCUGGGCUACACACACGCUACAAUGGCCAGCACAAUAGGUAGCGAAGUCGCGAGGCGGAGCCAAUCCCUAAAGUUGGCCUCAGUUCAGAUUGUAGGCUGCAACCCGCCUGCAUGAAGUCGGAGUUGCUAGUAACCGCAGGUCAGCAAUACUG